CACCCACAGGACGAGCAGUUAGCGCUAGACCUUUUUCUUUGGGAUGUAGGUGGCCGGCUAGGGCGUCGGCGGAGGGGGCGAAGGAGGCGUUAGGGCGUCGGCGGAGGGGGGCGCGGAGCGGGGCGUCGGCGGAGGGGGCGUAGGAGGAGCGGAGAGGGACACGGUGGGUAGAGGCGGAGGAGAGGGUAGAGGAGGGACGACGACGACCGGUAGCGUGGGAGUGGUAGCUGCUAACUACGCCGGUUGUCGCUCGCGGCCACUCGCUGGCCCUCCGGCGGUGGAGAGGACUGGAGGAGGGUCCAAGGGCUAGACCUCGCCGCUCCGGUUGGGGGAGAAGUGUGCGUCUACGAAAAGAGAAGGGAGUCAAGGGAGAGAGAGAGAAGGGACUGGGAGAGCUACCGGUCUCCCCCCACUGACCCACCUAGUCCACCGCCACUACAGUCUCGAGCUCCGCCUCUACCGCCUCGAGCCCGACCUCAUGAGUGCCCUACUGCCUAAGUUCCCGACCUCGAGAGUGCCUGACCUCCACGAGUCCGAUUUCCGUCAACUCCUGCGGGAUGCCCGCUCGACCUCCACCUCCGCAACUCUCGGGAGGGGGGUAGAGAGUAAAAGAGGUAAAGAAAGGGAGGUUGUAGAGUGAUGACGAAGACAUACCUUGUUGUCUCCCCUACCCUUCUCCGGACCUCAACGAGUCGUAGCCAGUUGGACGUUCCACCAAACGAGCUGGUGAGUGGCAACCAAGACAGUUAUACGUUCCACUAAACGAGCUAUGGAGCGACAACCAAGGCAGUUAGACGUUCCAAGAAGCAAGCCGACCUAACAUCCAACCGAGGUCAGGAACUAGUCAAGAAGACGUUCCUCUCAAAGUCACGAGUCGUAUAACGUCAUUAACGUCGUCGCUCAAGAUACUUCGUGCAGUUACCUCCCCUGUAUCAGUUACUGUUAGCGGAUGGUAAAUUAAUCUACCAAACGGUCAAAGAAGGACAUCUAUCAUAGUGUCACUACGCUAAGUCUACAAAUAUUAAGAAAAGGUUGUAAUGUAUAAGAACAUAAGUAAGUAAAACUUUGGUGCCUCCGGUAGCGUAAUACGUAACCAAUCUGAUCCAUUAAAGACAAUUCCAUAUUAAAAAGAUAGUUAUACGGUUCUAGCUGACAAGCGGAGUAGAAAUAAGACGUUUACAGUUUUACAGGUCUUGUAUUUAAAGUUCGAAAAUCUGGAAUGUAUACAAUACUUGAAUACUUCAAUACUAUAUACAGAUUUAAGUCGACCUAGAAGUUAAUUUAGGACUUAAGAUAUCUACAAAAUAGGAAAAGAUGUAGACUCAUAUGUGAUUAAUCAAUUUGGAAAAGAAAAGGCCUAGACGUAAGGUGGACAUGAUUAACGGUCUAAUAUAUACACAAACACAAGUAAGAAUUAAAUUUGAUCUGGAUCGACAUAUAUGAUGUUUUAAACAAUUUAAACGCGACCCGUCCAAAGGUACUACUCAAGCAUCGGAAAUACUUCAACGACGACGAACAAAAGACAUUAGUAACGAGUAAAGAGCAGAGGUAUCGUCUUUUAAACUAAGAACGUAGAUUGGGACUAGGACUACCACUUUAUUAACGAACCGUGUUAUUUCUUUACGAACUCACCGUACUACACAACCCAAAGGUACAAAAUGACAGUAAAUGUACUCCACCGUCAAAACCGAUGGAGGUGGGCGGAAUCAGACAAAUAAAAAUUCACCCUUCACUACUUAGCUUGUUCCUCCUUCCUGCUGCACGAACAAGAAAGGCCGCACCCAAAUGAUUUGAAACAUGUAUACUUAAAGUGGAGUAUAAAAGAAGGACCGAACUAUUCUUGACUUGUUAUAUUAAACCAAAGAGUACAGGUCAUAAGGUCUAACUCAUUACGAUCUCUAUACGCUGGGAAUCGGGUCAAAUGCUUUACGAAAUAAUCCACAUAAAAAGAAAGUACAUGUAUCGACCCUCAUCAGAUUAUCGGUAAAAAAUUCCUAUUUGUUCCGAAUGACAUGCAUUCCAAACUCUAAUGGGGUAAAGUUUAUUGAUUUCCUUUAGUGAUAAGGAGUUUACGUCCAAUAACCAAAUAAAAUAAAGCAUACCGUACAAAAACAAAGUCAAGAAACAAAAAAGUUAGGUAACGAAAGAUCGUCAGAAGUACUAUUGUCUCUAAACUCUUCCUAGAGAGAGACAUCGACAUCCACUAUUGAAAAAACAUGACUUUGAUGUUUUAAUAAACAAGAUAGAUACAGCAAAGAUAGAGGUGAUUCUCGAAAGUCGGACGUUCGUGGGUCAACAGGAAGAUUCAACCGUCCUAACUACUUUGGAAAUUCGGACUUGAUCGUAGGAAACCUAAACCCCCACGUAGUACGUGUAGACCUCGUAGUAGAAGACGACUCUCGAGUCCGUACCGCCACGGGUAAGAGUGCAGAAAGCGAUGUCAUAGUAGAUGUGAACAUCUCGAUGGAGGCCUACUCUACUUGUGAGGAUAUAGACGUAAGUCUCGUUUUCCUGUCCAACGAUACGGAUUUUGUGGGUCGUUUAGUGGUACGGGUUUUUCGCGAACGGCGUUUGAACAAGAACUCGAGAGAUUCAGAUUCCCACGUCGCGAUAGACCGAGACGAGGGUUCAACCGAUGGGUCUGACUUCUUCAACAAGGACGACCUUUACAACAAGUCGGACGUAGGUACGGUUUAUAUGUAUGGAUACAAACUAUACGUUUACUCAAACUAAAGUAGAAGCACGGUCGUUCCUUUAAGAUGGACAAUUCUUUGUUUAUCUCAAAACUACAAUGUAAUAACUAACCGAACCAAGAAGGACCACGUCAAGAUUCAAGGUCAUGAAAACAAAAAACGAACGAGUAUGGAAAAUUCUUCGAUGAUUUACGUCCAAGUGACAGUCCAACCAAUCUACAAGAUAUCUAGUGAUAUAUACGUCCAAGUAAUCGAUAGGUUCUUUUAAUCACAGUCCAAAGUCAUAGGUCAUCCGAUCUAAGGAACAGUCCGAGCAAAUAACAAAACAACGAGUGGUUACGUAACAUCUAAUCUACAGAUUGGUUAUUUUAGUCGGAGACCAGAUUCUUAGACUACCCAGAAAACAGGAAACUUUUGUUUUUGUAGGAAGAAAUAUGUAGAUUUUUUACCAAAGAAGAAGUGACUACACACACUACGAUAAACUAGUUCGAAACAAAGGGUGCUGACGAUACAAGUUUAAUUAUUCUCGGACCUAUUUUGUUGGAAAAUGGAAGUAUCAUUAUACGUAAGAAGAAAGAAAGGAGAACGUACAUGUAGGUUAAGAACAACAACGUUCGUUUUACUGAACGAAACAUCGGAACACUAGAAGGGUGUAAAGCCGAUUCUUGGAAAGAUUUUUAGAAGUCCCGCUGUACGCGUAAUUUUCCGAGGUCGGACAACAACUACGAAGACCCGAACUGUUCCAACCGCCUGGGCUCCAACAAUUCUUCGUGUACUACGGCAGUAGAAAACGCCUCACCGGACUCUCUUAACUCUGGGAACUUGUACCCGUUUUUCGUCAGCUACCUCGACUAUAAUGGUAAGUUUAGGUAGUCUACUUCGAUGAACUGAUGGACGUGUGUUAGUCCUGACCCGUUCACAAACCCUGUCACGAACGACAACAGGUGUGGCACCUCAAGGUCUUUUGCCCCCACGGGGUACGUGUAUAGGAACAAACCGUCCUCUUCUUGCUACUAGUCCGGGGACGUGAACGACUACAACUAGGUCUACGAACAUGACGACGUGGACGGUUGUCGCACCUUCGCCGCCAACGAGUCGGUCGAUCCGAAUUGUCCUAACGGUGAUGACGACGACGACGUAGUUGGUAAAGUAUUUUGUUACUAUCCAGGGAUUCGUUAGACGCGAAGUUUUACUCGCAGAUACACACCAACAAAACCGGAAAUGAUGGAAGAGGAAGCGAUGAAAGUUCGGGCGUUCUUGCUCACUUGCGACGUACCGGUGGCGACAGAAGGCCGUUGUGGGAAAAUUUGUCAGAUGACAAUACAAUGAACGUACAAACGUUAGGGCCAAAACCGUCAGUAUUUCUGUUCGGUUUUGAGGAAGUAUGAAAAGGGACAAAUUUAGGCUUGCCUCGUUGAAGGUAUAAGGCACCUAUUGCGAUAAUCUGGAGAAAACGAAAUGGGAGAGAGAGCUUACUGACAAAGUUAGAUGACAUUCAUAAACAAGUGAGUUAGCAGAUGACAUAGACGAUAAGGGUUACGUUAUAAUCGACAAGAUCUCGAAUGUAAUUG
Molecule: ribosomal RNA, 4264 nt
Filed under: Triticum aestivum (bread wheat)
Lineage: Eukaryota; Viridiplantae; Streptophyta; Magnoliopsida; Poales; Poaceae
Description: partial small subunit ribosomal RNA
Source: RNAcentral